RNAcentral lists this ribosomal RNA (433 nucleotides) under uncultured bacterium. RNAcentral describes it as "partial 16S ribosomal RNA". It matches the Rfam family "Bacterial small subunit ribosomal RNA", at positions 29 to 507 of the family's 1533-position model. The record is from RNAcentral.
AACGAACGCUGGCGGCAUGCCUAACACAUGCAAGUCGAACGAGCCCUUCGGGUCUAGUGGCGCACGGUUGCGUAACGCGUGGGAACCUGCCCUUAGGUUCGGAAUAACUCCCCGAAAGGGGUGCUAAUACCGGAUAAUGUCUUCGGACCAAAGAUUUAUCGCCUUUGGAGGGGCCCGCGUUGGAUUAGCUAGUUGUUAGGGUAAAAGCCUAACAAGGCGACGAUCGAUAGCUGGUCUGAGAGGAUGAUCAGCCACACUGGGACUGAGACACGGCCCAGACUCCUACGGGAGGCAGCAGUGGGGAAUAUUGGACAGUGGGCGAAAGCCUGAUCCAGCAAUGCCGCGUGAGUGAUGAAGGCCUUAGGGUUGUAAAGCUCUUUUACCCGGGAUGAUAAUGACAGUACCGGGAGAAUAAGCUCCGGCUAACUCCGUG